Molecule: ribosomal RNA, 460 nt
Filed under: uncultured bacterium
Lineage: Bacteria
Description: partial 16S ribosomal RNA
Rfam family: Bacterial small subunit ribosomal RNA
Source: RNAcentral
CCUACGGGAGGCUGCAGUGAGGAAUAUUGGUCAAUGGCCGGAAGGCUGAACCAGCCAUGCCGCGUGAAGGUCAGUGCCCUAUGGGCGUUAAACUUCUUUUGUGCGGGAGCAAUAAUGGUCACGUGUGGCCAGACGAGAGUACCGUACGAAUAAGCAUCGGCUAACUCCGUGCCAGCAGCCGCGGUAAUUCGGGGGAUGCAAGCGUUUUCCGGAUUUAUUGGGUUUAAAGGGUGCCUAGGCUGUGAGGUAAGUCAGCGGGGAAAUGCCCCCGCUCAACGGGGUGAAGUGCCAUUGAUACUGCCUUGCUGGAAUGCGGAUGCCGUGGGAGGAAUGUGUGGUGUAGCGGUGAAAUGCAUAGAUAUCACACAGAACACCGAUUGCGAAGGCAUCUCACGAAUCCGCGAUUGACGCUGAUGCACGAAAGCGUGGGUAUCAAACAGGAUUAGAUACCCCAGUAGUC